GAUGAACGCUGGCGGCGUGCCUAACACAUGCAAGUCGAGCGACCAGACGAGGAGCUUGCUCCUCUGACGUUGGCGGCGGACGGGUGAGUAACACGUGGAUAACCUAUCUAUAAGACUGGGACAACUUCGGGAAACCGGAUCCCAUACCGGAUCAUAUGUUGAAACGCAUGGUUCAAUAGACAAAGCCCGUUUUGCUGGCACGUAUAGAUGGAACCAAGCCGGAUUAGCUAGUUGGUAAGGUAACGGCUUACCAAGGCUACGAUGCGUAGCCGACCUGAGAGGAUGAUCAGCCACACUGGAACUGAGACACGGUCCAGACUCCUACGGGAGGCAGCAGUAGGGAAUCUUGCACAAUGGGCGAAAGCCUGACGGAGCAACGCCGCGUGAAGGAUGAAGGUCUUCGGAUCGUAAAACUCUGUUAUUAGGAACGAACAGAUGUGUACGUAACUAUAAGCGUCUUGACGGUACCUAAUCAGUAAGCACCGGCUAACUACGUG
This 497-nucleotide ribosomal RNA is filed under the name uncultured bacterium. Its description in RNAcentral is "partial 16S ribosomal RNA". It matches the Rfam family "Bacterial small subunit ribosomal RNA", at positions 28 to 507 of the family's 1533-position model. The record is from RNAcentral.